GGGGGAGGAGGAGGAGGAAGAGGUGAAGGAGGAGAAAGAAGAGGAAGAGGAAGAGGAAGAGGAGGAGGAGGAGGAGGUGAAGGAGGAGGAGGAGGGGGAGGAGGAAAUAGGACAGAGAAGUCAGUCAGUAAAAGGGUUCGGGCUACAGCAUCAAUGUAUAUAAGUCAGUUUUACUGAUCUAUCUCAAUACCUUGCGAUAAGAAACUUUUAAAAAAAGGUUGUGACAGGCAGUAUUUUGAAGAUCUAAACACUAAAAACUACUGAGGAAAUUAAAAGGGGCAUAACUGGUUAAAGAAUCCAUUCCUGUAGAAGGCACAGCCUAGAGUAAGCCUUGGAGACACCAUAAUUAUUGAGCAUGAAGGUUUGUCGGCCUUCUUCAACUGAAGGAGGAGCGAUGCCUGGCCGUAGGGUUAAGCCACCUGGUGAUCCUUUGCUAUUCUAUUAGGGGCCAACCUCCACCUGAAUUUCCCCAAAUCCUGAAAAUUGUUUAGGCCCUAAUCCUGGUCUCUCUCUCUCUCUCUCUCUCUCUCUCUCUCUCUCUCUCUCUCUCUCUCUCUCUCUCUCUCUCUUAUCCCCCCUCUCUGUCUGUCUGUCUUUCACUUUCUCUGUUCCUCCUCUGCCUCUCUCUGUAUGCCUCUCUGUCUCUGUGUGUCUCUCUUCUGUUCCCUCUCACUCUCUCACUAUGUCUUUGUCUCUCUGUGUAUCUCUCUGUCUCUGCCUGUUCUCCCCCCUCCUCCUCCUCCUCCUCCUCCUCCUCUUCCUCCUCCUCCUCCCUCUCUCUCUCUCUCUCUCUCUCUCUCUCUCUCUCUCUCUCUCUCUCUCUCUCUCUCCUCUUAAAUUUAUUAUUUUUCUUUACACUCUGUUUCUGCACUUAAAGGCCCGCUGCCAGCCCAGCACUUGCUGAACAUCAGGAAUGAUUUUAGGCGAUAAUGAGGUGUCAGUGCAGAUUGACUGCAGGAAAAGCUAACACCAUCAUAGAGAACAUGGGAAGGACAUUGAUAAUGUCAGCGGGGGAACCGGGCAUAUGAGAAAUCUCUGUACUUUCAAUUUUGUUCUAAACCUAAAACUGCUCUAAAAACUUGAAGUCUUUAAAACAAACAAAUAAAGCCCUAAUUACCUCGGAUAUGUUAGUGGACUGCUCUAAAUCUCGAUUUCUUCACUCAAUCAGAUCAAGGCAAUGAUGUCUCCCUGAGCAGCAUGGACUACAUGAACUAACACCGAGUGUCUAGGGCACCCCUUGAUUCAUAGAACUAACAGGUAAAAUAAUUAAAGGUAUGAGCUGGGAUCUGGAGAUUUCAGUGAAUCACUCAGUCAGUACCUAUGUGAUUCUGUCCAGGGAAAUCCUCCCUUUCUCCAAGUCCUCGAAGGAUAAGCUAUGUGGUGCGGUUUCAGGAUGACUUGGUGAAAUUCUGGGACUACAUACUCAGUACCCUGCUGGCCAGGAGUCGCCUGCUGUAACUUUGGUACUCCUCCAGCCUGCCUUUCAGUGGCAGCAGAUUGGGCAGCUUAGGCUGUCAUCCACUGUCACCAAGUGCAUUGCAUAAAAGUCCCCACCCCCUCCCCAACAUCAGACUGUACCCUCUGUCUCUAUCUUGUUACUUCCCUCUGUCUGUCUCAAUUUCUCUCUCAUGUCCCCUCCCAGAGCAAGCCUUCCAUUCUCACCAACCCUCCAAUAAACCUCGUGCCCUAGAUCUGUUGCAUGGUCUGUCUCUUAGCGACACACCUUAGCCCCGGACCUGCCAAAGAUAUUUUUAUCCUAGUAGCAACCCCUGAAAAACAGCCAGUGAUAUGGAGUCUCCCCUUGCCUUGCCUUGCCUACGACACUGUUCACCUCAGAAAUCAGCCAGUGGCAUCGGUAAAAUUUAUUCCGUUGGAGGGAUAUGCUUUAGCGUCGCUAAUCUCUAAGAUACUUUAAAUUUAUAGUGAAAUAUUUUUUCUGUGGGAAGUUCUAACGUUUUUCUUCUCCUUCCUUCAAAAGUAUGUGUUUCUCUUCAGAAUACAAGGAGUGUAUGGGAAGUAAACCAAAUACAUUUUGGAGAUAUCAAGUGUCCUGUUGAUACUGAUAAAACAAUACUGGGGAGAGGAUUUUUGACGGAAGAAAAGGAGGAUCUUUGGGGAAUACUAAAAAACACCAGUCAAUCAGACCAACAGUGAGGAGGGACAAAUGACACUUUCCUUCAAUCACACUGAGAAAUCUCUCCUUCAUUUGUAUUUUGAUGCCCGGAAGAAUCAUGGUAAGGACCAUUGGAUAAUUGAGCCUCAUUCUCAGAAGUCUGUAUUUGUUUUUAGACAAUUUCUUAAAGAAGUACAGACACACACAAAGAAACUUGCUUUUCUCUUUUUAUAAUGCAAAGAACAUUUUGGCAGGGCACGGUAGCUCUUAGCUGUAUAGAGGUUCCCAGCAUUUGGAAGGCUGAAGUAGAAGAACUGAUGCCAGGUGGAGGCUAUCCUAGGCUACACAGGUGCUUCUCGGAUCUAUUAACUAAUCUCAGAAAGCCAAGGAAAAUGAACUAUAUGAUGGCUGAGGUUGACAAAAGCAACUUUAAGUCACCAAGAGGCAAAAUGCCAAGUGGCACAUGAGGAACAACCAGCUCCUUGCCAGAGGUGGAAACCGUCCAAAGGAUAAUAUAAUUUUUCCAGUGAAGCAGAGUUCGUGCUAGAGAACCAACUCAACAUUUACCUAGACAGCUGAUGUCACCUCCACCCAGUCACGUUAGUCUUCACCAAAGGAAGAGAAAGACAUUGUAUUGUUCAAUAAAAAAAUAAAGUAAAAA
This is a non-coding RNA of Rattus norvegicus (Norway rat), 2774 nucleotides long. The record is from RefSeq and is a predicted model, not a curated record. Lineage: Eukaryota; Metazoa; Chordata; Mammalia; Rodentia; Muridae.